Molecule: long non-coding RNA, 658 nt
Organism: Mus caroli (Ryukyu mouse)
Lineage: Eukaryota; Metazoa; Chordata; Mammalia; Rodentia; Muridae
Source: RefSeq, a predicted model, not a curated record
GCCCCUUGUAGCCAUCAUCCUGCACUAAGCGAAAAUGACAGUCUCCUUUAAGAGACAAUAAACAAACCUCACAUCAGUAUGGUGCAGUAGCAGCAGCAGUUAACGUGGUGCACAAUCAUCGAGGCUUUCUCCUGGAUGGCAGCAAAGAAGAAAGACUGCAUCAUGUACGGGCUGAUGAAAACUUGAAUCGCUGUACACUGUCACCAGAUCAUUUGGAGGAGAGAUGAUAAAUGCCCUCAAGUAAGCCCUGGGAUGCUGUAUGUAAAUCUGAGGGGACAAUACUAAGGGAAACUGAAGAUAGGAAACAAGUAGGAGGUCCAGAAGCUGGAGCAGUGUGAAGAGGAGCUAGUAAAGCAUUGACCUGCUGGAAAUGGAGACCCUGGCGCUAAUAAAUCAAGUACAUUUAAAAUGAGUUACCCUAAUGCUCAUUCAUCACAGCUGUAAUGCCAUUUGCAGCAGAGGAUUCGCCGUCCUGCGCAAACACUGCAGUAAAUAAUAACACUUGAGCAUCCCAGCAUCGUCGCGGGCUCCAACACCACAAGCAUACGUUUAUUAAGGAGCCUUUAUUAGAUGGCAGUCUCGCCUAACAGGCCAGAUCAUGAAGUAACAGGAUUCGGUGCCGAUCACCCUACCAUCAGGUGACAGAGUGAUAAACAUC